UACGUAGGGCGCAAGCGUUAUCCGGAAUUAUUGGGCGUAAAGAGCUCGCAGGCGGUUUGUCGCGUCUGCUGUGAAAGACCGGGGCUCAACUCCGGUUCUGCAGUGGGUACGGGCAGACUAGAGUGAUGUAGGGGAGACUGGAAUUCCUGGUGUAGCGGUGAAAUGCGCAGAUAUCAGGAGGAACACCGAUGGCGAAGGCAGGUCUCUGGGCAUUAACUGACGCUGAGGAGCGAAAGCAUGGGGAGCGAACAGG
RNAcentral lists this ribosomal RNA (253 nucleotides) under uncultured bacterium. RNAcentral's name for it is "partial 16S ribosomal RNA". It matches the Rfam family "Bacterial small subunit ribosomal RNA", at positions 524 to 776 of the family's 1533-position model. The record is from RNAcentral.